CUGUUCUGGUGAAAUGGAGUCUCCUCCUUGCUACAGAUUAAAGGAACUGGAAAUGCUGACGUUUGGGGG
This 69-nucleotide long non-coding RNA is filed under the name Bos mutus (wild yak). RNAcentral's name for it is "lncRNA (ENSBMUG00000026426.1)". Lineage: Eukaryota; Metazoa; Chordata; Mammalia; Artiodactyla; Bovidae. The record is from RNAcentral.